Non-coding RNA from Hyaloscypha hepaticicola, 149 nucleotides. The record is from the annotation of a GenBank genome assembly. Lineage: Eukaryota; Fungi; Ascomycota; Leotiomycetes; Helotiales; Hyaloscyphaceae.
GGCACUUUGGCGGAGUGGUUAACGCGAUGUAAGCCAUCCAACACAUGGGAAAAUGGGACCUUCACUAAUCCAAACAGGCCCUGCUAUUGUGUAAACAAAGCAAACAGGCAUUUCCUUCGGGAGCGUGUGUUCGAAUCACACAGGUGUCG